AUGAGCCUUUUCUCCCUUAAGUUGUUCAUGAGCCUUGGACCACACCACGAUGACAUGAAAGUAGCUGAUACAGACACGUCACUCAUAGGUGUAACUAGGGUGUGCAUUGCCACCAGGAACUCUUACACCUCUUGUAAGAUCUGCAGUUUCGUUCCGGCGCGAAGGUCACGGACAAGAUGGUACCCCCGGUUCAGGUCUCUCACUGAUCAAGCUCGGCCGAUACUCAGCCCGGGUCCUCUGGUCCUCGGCAUGGCCUAAAACCGCUAAACGCUACAGUUACCUAAAACCCCGGGCAGAAGAGGAGAGGAGGGUGGCAGCGGAGGAAAAGAAGAGACUAGAUGAGCUGAAACGGAUCGAGAGAGAACUGGCAGAAGGUGACACCAUACUCAAGUGAUGUAGAGCCCAUGAGCUUGCCUAUCUUUAGCCGCUGAGGAUGAAUAAAACUUUGUCGUGUAAUGGAAAAAAAAAAAAAAAGAUCUGCAGUUUCACUUUGUAACAGAAUUGAAUGUAUUUGUAUUAUAUUGCCUUUGUCUUCCUGGGGAAGGGAGAACAUUGAGGAGGAACAUUUGAAAGAGGGACCAACUUACAGAUGAUCUUAUCUUUAAUAAAUACUUUCCAUGCAUGGAUAUAUCACAAUGAAACUCAUUAAUAUGUCUUAUUAAUAUACAUUGAUAAUUGUAAUAAAAAUUUAAAAACUACUUUCAAGUAUUCAUGACUUCCUUCCCUUCACACUCUUAUUAAAAUGAAGUGUGAAAUUAGGGGGCAUUCUGUGGUUGUAUCAUGUAAGCGAGUGUCUGACAAGAGGUGGAUUAAAAACUGAGAAGACAGGUUUAAAUGUUGAAGAUUGAAAUGGAAGAGAG
Molecule: long non-coding RNA, 860 nt
Filed under: Cricetulus griseus (Chinese hamster)
Lineage: Eukaryota; Metazoa; Chordata; Mammalia; Rodentia; Cricetidae
Description: lncRNA (ENSCGRG00000024649.1)
Source: RNAcentral